UAGCACCAAUGCACAGGGACAUGCACUCACAAGCAGGACAAGUGCCAACCUGAACCAUCUUUUAGUAUCAUUAACUCUCAUUAGCAUUGGAACUGCUGCAACCCCUGCUGCUAUUGUCACCACAGCUGCAUUGGUAGUAGCAAUGGAGAAAUCUUGCUGAGAGGAUCUUCAACUAAUGGCCUACUAACCUGGUCAUCGGUGGUCAAAUAGUUAGUUGAAGAAGCAUGACAAAAGUAUUGUACCAUCUAUGUUUAGUGUGCCAGCCCAAACUGGUGAUUGCGGCUGCUUGACGACAGGGAAGGACUCUCCUGUGAGGCUACUCUCAUCAACUUCACUCUGCCCUUCAACCACAACUCCAUCGAUUGGGAUCACUUCUCCAGCUUUAACUGCCAGAAUUGUGUUGGUCUUCACGUCUUGAGCAUCCACUACUUCGCCUGUUUCCGCUAGAAUGGCCUUUUGUGGUGCCAUCCUCAUCAGCGUUGACAUCCCAGCGGUGGCCUGGAGGUAACUUAGGUUCAAACAAGUUUCAUAAGUUCCUUUGGCAGGCUCAUAUAUUGUUCAGUGAUGACACAGGAAGCAUUUUGUGGUCAGUGUCUCCAAACCUCUCAAGUAGUCCCCAAACUUGCACCAUACUUUCACUGCAAAUCUAUACAUUCACUUGAUUGCAUUGAAUGUGUAGAAAAGUAUUGGAGUAUAUCAGACUCCAGCCAGAUGGUUUUGAUGAACUGUAUCUGACUGGUAGCUUUUCUGUUUGCCCUACCAUCUUCUUUUCAUCCUGCAUCUCAUCCAUAGGUCUAUAUUGGUAAAUGACCCAAUAAAUGGUGUGGGGUUGGGUUUCCUACUAUGUCACUUCUGACCCAGCACCACAAAAUCCUCGAAUUGUGUGCCCACAGUCACAUUAGGAUGAUAUAUAUAUAUAUAUAUAUAUAUAUAGAGAGAGAGAGAGAGAGAGAGAGAGAGAGAGGUGGUACCUUGAGGCUGGAUAUUGACUCCAGCCAUUCAGCAACUGCGAAGAGAAGCACAAUGAAGCCUGCUUCUGUGUAGUCCUCAAGCGCAACCGCUCCACCCACUGCCAAACAACAAAUGACAAAAGCAUCAGCAAUGGAACUCCAAUUCUACCAAUAACAUGCAUCACCAACACCAAACUGCACAAAACAAUCAAGGUCACAGUGCAUCCAUCAGCUCUGCUUGUUCCAAAUCUCCAUCACAGUAACCAGAGAUUCACAUUGCCAAACUCAUACCAAGCUUAUACAUACCUCAUCCAGACAUGAGGGAAGAAGAAAAUAAUUCUUCAUCAAUGACACAUCUCUACAUAUUGCUUAUAUGAAGCUUUUCAGGAGUUUGCUGCUCUACCUGCAACCAGCAGCAAAAUGUUGGUGUCGAGAGUGCAUGUUCGAAUGGCCGCAACGCUUCUCAGCACAAUCGGCGGCAGGCCAGCCACCACGGCAGCAAUUGCCAGCCAUUUCAGCGGGUGGAAGAAGUGUUUGAACAUGGAAGCUGAGAGCAGCAAUCCAGAGGCCAGUAUGUAUGGACUUGGCCAUUUCUUGACGAUUGCAUCAGUUCCAUAUGCUCGAACGGUAGCUUCAAGCCUCGCCUGGUUCAAUGCCUUAACUGAUGAAGCCAAGAGAAUAGAGUGUAAAGAAACUUUGAUAGAUCCUUCUGCAGCAGUUUGAUUGAGGUCAGUGGUCCUAAAGGUAACUUGAUGAAUGAUGUAUCAGAUCAUCAUCUCUUGCAUUUCAAACUUUGGAAGAUAUGCCUACUUACCGAUCUGAAGCUGCGAGAUAAUGAGGCUGUCAUGGAUUACAAUGACCAUCUUCGAUGGAACGAUGACCGAAACUUUCUGAAUCCCAUCCAAUGAGCUCAAGAUGUUCUCGAUCAGCGGGACCUCGGAGGGGCAGCAGAGCCCCAGAACCUCAAAAUAGCUCUUCUGAUGUCUCACUUCUUUGCUUCUCUUGGGACUGCCUUGUUCUUCCAUUUCCAAGAUCUCUCUUUUCACACCUUAAAACGAUAAGACAUGUUAUGUAGACACUCACUCCAAUUAAGAUGCUAUCAAGCUCCAAUAUCUGAUGUUUGCAGUACUUACAUCUACAUUUCUGAUGCUUACAGUGUGUGUAAGUGGAAAAAAAAAGAAAGCCAGAAGAAAGAGGAAGAGGAUGAUGAACCGGUGCAUGCAGAAGAAUAACCAGUUUCUCAUCUGCAGAACUCAAAGUGAAACAUCAUGUGGCAGGAGAGAGGAUGCAGCCGCAGAAGAACCAAUUCAAAAGAUCUGAGAAAUCUGAGGCUGCUAAUGAAGAAUUGGAGAGCAAAGGAAAUGCAUUUUGUACCUAACGAAUGAGGAGCAAAACCUCCUAUUGCUUGUGCCAAUGGGAAGAAGAGGAUUGGGGUGAUUUAAGAAGGCAAUGCCUUGCCAUAAGGUGGUGGGCAGGCAGGAAAAGGUAGCAAAAUGGAGCAUGAUUUGGUUGAUGACUUGGUGGGCACCAUCAAACAUUUCCUACUGUUGUUUUCUCUUGUGAGCCAAGGAGGAUUCCAUGUUCUUUAUU
Long non-coding RNA from Musa acuminata AAA Group (dessert banana), 2540 nucleotides. RefSeq lists it as uncharacterized. Lineage: Eukaryota; Viridiplantae; Streptophyta; Magnoliopsida; Zingiberales; Musaceae. The record is from RefSeq and is a predicted model, not a curated record. The transcript has 6 exons.